RNAcentral lists this ribosomal RNA (513 nucleotides) under uncultured bacterium. Its description in RNAcentral is "partial 16S ribosomal RNA". It matches the Rfam family "Bacterial small subunit ribosomal RNA", at positions 28 to 523 of the family's 1533-position model. The record is from RNAcentral.
GACGAACGCUGGCGGCAUGCCUAAUACAUGCAAGUCGAGCGAACAGAUGAAGUGCUUGCACUUCUGACGUUAGCGGCGAACGGGUGAGUAACACGUAAGGAAUCUACCUAUAAGCGGGGGAUAACAUUCGGAAACGGGUGCUAAUACCGCAUAAUAUCUUCUUCCGCAUGGAAGAAGAUUGAAAGACGGCUCUGCUGUCACUUAUAGAUGACCUUGCGGUGCAUUAGUUAGUUGGUGGGGUAGCGGCCUACCAAGACGAUGGUGCAUAGCCGACCUGAGAGGGUGAUCGGCCACAUUGGGACUGAGACACGGCCCAAACUCCUACGGGAGGCAGCAGUAGGGAAUCUUCCGCAAUGGGCGAAAGCCUGACGGAGCAAUGCCGCGUGAGUGAAGAAGGCCUUCGGGUCGUAAAACUCUGUUAUAAGAGAAGAACAAAUUGUAGAGUAACUGCUACAGUCUUGACGGUAUCUUAUCAGAAAGCCACGGCUAACUACGUGCCAGCCGCCGCCGUAA